Molecule: long non-coding RNA, 1870 nt
Organism: Micropterus salmoides (largemouth bass)
Lineage: Eukaryota; Metazoa; Chordata; Actinopteri; Centrarchiformes; Centrarchidae
Exons: 3
Source: RefSeq, a predicted model, not a curated record
CACCUUUGGUCUUUCAGGCUUUAUAAGCACAAGACGGGCCCAAACAGUUGGAACAAUAUCUUGCUUACUGGACAAUUUUGCCUGCCUUUGAUGAAGGGUUGAUGGCGCAAUUUGGAAAGGAUCAAGCUUGAAGCAUCAAACAGGUUUUGGCCUGUUUUCUGAUUACCCACAGCAGCCAGGCACCCACAGCUAGAAGUGUGACACAACACCCGCCGCCCUGCAACUCCAAGGCUGUAGACAUUACAAGGACACAGCAGGUUUGAGCUGAAUCAGCGGAAGACAGAGCACUUCCAAUCUGAUCCCGAUAACUUUGGAGACCUGCACAAAACUCAAGGACAGUAAAGAUUUCUUCAAGAGAGAAUUCAAGGGAGUAUAUGUCAUUUGGUCUUAUCUGAGAAAAUCAUCAUAUGAACGAGAGCUGGUAUUAUACUAACGUAUGUGUGCCAGACUUCCAGAAAAAAGAUAAAAAAACACAAAUACAACCCACACUGCAACAAGUUCGCAUCACAUGACAUUCCACAUCAAGUGACACACGUAGAUGUUAUUGUGGUAACAUUUCAAGUCCUUUUUAUAUUGUCAUGAGGCCUGAGGGUAACACAGCAUGUUUUUUUUCUUUCAGAUUCUGAUGGUGACACAAACAAGGGUCAAAGCACACAAACACACUUUCAGAUUGACAGACAGAUGCAGACUGACGCCUAAUGGGUUUCUAUUUUUAAAGCUUUAAUGUUAUAAUCUUGAAGAUUUUCAAAUGUCUGUUAAGUCACUAUCUAUUGCCCACUGUGGUAACACAAUGGUGACUGAGCAUGUGGCCCACCGAUGAAAGUAUUGCGAUAUUUAUAUAUUUACAGUAUUACAAACUUGGUGUCUGUGCCGACAAAAAUAAUGAAAACUGAACAUUUCCUACUGCUGCAGCUUUACAUUAAAAGCAUUUAAGCGGCGAAACACAAGUUGACUUACAGCUAUAUAAAAAAUGCAUCUAAAAAACAAGACUAUGGUCAUUUUCAGCAUUUUUUUGACAGCAGAUCAGUUUAAAAUGUGGCACGGAGUAAUGGGACAAAAGGCAGCAGCCACAGUGAGCUGUUAGAUGACAAGCUGCAGGCGACAGGCUGCACACCUCCAGCUCCUGAGGGAGGUAACAAACUCCUUCUACUGUGCCCUGCUGUUCCUGCUCUGUGCCAGACUCAUGCCAUGUGCAGCAUAAAAUCAGAUCACAGUUGCCUACAGAAUGAUGGAAAAAGGACAAUUAUUGCCCAAAUACUUUAUGUAAAUGACAAUAGCUUGUUUGGAAUAAGCCACCUGUUAAUCGCUGAAGUAUCAGUUUAGUUUUCACUCAAAAUGCAAAGGAGAAGUUCGUGUCUGACCCUAGUGUCCGUGCUACAAACCUCCUUGAAGCUAGGAGGCUAAGCUAGAGAAUCUGAAACCAACCAUUUUUAUCCAUAUCACACAUCAACCACCAAGAAUCUGAAUGAACUUAUAUCACAACAUAAACCAUUCUGUGAACACUGUACAUGCAUGCAGUUAUUGCCAUCCAGUUAUCUCUCAUCUUAUCUUACACCACCGCCCGACCACUCUUAAGAAAGCUCAGCCCCAGCUGAGAUCAGCUGUGUAACUCAUAUCACUCAAAUCACAGACUGAUUAGCCGGAUAAUAAUAACAACAAACGCACCAAUAUACAUAUACAGUUUCAACCGCCGACUUAUUUUUGCGGUUUUUGCUGUUUUUCGUUUUUGCUAGCCAAUCUGUUGUAGUUACACAGACAUCCAGUAUUUCAAACAAUUUGUUUGCUCAAGACGACGAGAAAGAGCCCACUUACAGCCCAGGAUGUUCUGUUCUCAAGUUGUGGAUGAUGGUUUUGAUGGUGAUAUUGCUAU